AGAGUUUGAUCAUGGCUCAGAUUGAACGCUGGCGGUAUGCUUAACACAUGCAAGUCGAACGGUAACAGGCCUUCGGGCGCUGACGAGUGGCGGACGGGUGAGUAACGCGUAGGAAUCUGCCUCAUAGUGGGGGACAACGUGGGGAAACUCACGCUAAUACCGCAUACGCCCUACGGGGGAAAGCGGGGGAUCUUCGGACCUCGCGCUAUGAGAUGAGCCUGCGUUAGAUUAGCUAGUUGGUAGGGUAAAGGCCUACCAAGGCGACGAUCUAUAGCUGGUCCGAGAGGACGAUCAGCCACACUGGGACUGAGACACGGCCCAGACUCCUACGGGAGGCAGCAGUGGGGAAUAUUGGACAAUGGGCGCAAGCCUGAUCCAGCAAUACCGCGUGUGUGAAGAAGGCCUUAGGGUUGUAAAGCACUUUCAAUUGGGAGGAAAACCUGCCGGUCAAUACCCGGUAGCUUGACAUUACCUUUAGAAGAAGCACCGGCUAACUCCGUG
RNAcentral lists this ribosomal RNA (501 nucleotides) under uncultured bacterium. RNAcentral's name for it is "bacterial SSU rRNA". It matches the Rfam family "Bacterial small subunit ribosomal RNA", at positions 8 to 507 of the family's 1533-position model. The record is from RNAcentral.